This 132-nucleotide small nucleolar RNA is filed under the name Spermophilus dauricus (Daurian ground squirrel). RNAcentral describes it as "Small nucleolar RNA SNORA42/SNORA80 family (ENSSDAG00000014898.1)". Lineage: Eukaryota; Metazoa; Chordata; Mammalia; Rodentia; Sciuridae. The record is from RNAcentral.
GCAUAGAAUUUAUUUUUAAAGAAUAUGCUUUUUAAAAACGAUUAUGGUUUCUCAUAGUGCCUCAUGCCAGAGAAAACUGUGGCUCUGAACCACUGCCUGUAGGCUGCUGGCACUGAAGCGGGUUAUACAGUG